AUUGAACGCUGGCGGCAUGCCUAACACAUGCAAGUCGAACGGCAGCACGGUCUGGUUUACCAGAUGGGUGGCGAGUGGCGAACGGGUGAGUAAAGCGUAGGAAUAUACCUUAAAGAGGGGGAUAACCUGGGGAAACUCAGGCUAAUACCGCGUAAACUCUGCGGAGCAAAGCUGGGGACCGAAAGGCCUGGCGCUUUAAGAAUAGCCUGCGUCCGAUUAGCUAGUUGGUGGGGUAAAGACUCACUAAGGCGACGAUCGGUAGCUGGUCUGAGAGGACGAACAGCCACACUGGGACUGAGGCACGGCCCAGACUCCUACGGGAGGCAGCAGUGGGGAAUAUUGGACAAUGGGGGGAACCCUGAUCCAGCAAUGCCGCGUGUGUGAAGAAGGCCUGAGGGUUGUAAAGCACUUUCAGUGGGAGGAGGAUUACUAGGUUAAGAGCCAGGUAAUUGGACGUUACCCACAGAAGAAGCACCGGCUAACUCCGUGCCAGCAGCCGCGGUAAAGUCGAUA
This 513-nucleotide ribosomal RNA is filed under the name uncultured bacterium. RNAcentral's name for it is "bacterial SSU rRNA". It matches the Rfam family "Bacterial small subunit ribosomal RNA", at positions 29 to 531 of the family's 1533-position model. The record is from RNAcentral.